RNAcentral lists this ribosomal RNA (480 nucleotides) under uncultured bacterium. RNAcentral describes it as "bacterial SSU rRNA". It matches the Rfam family "Bacterial small subunit ribosomal RNA", at positions 32 to 521 of the family's 1533-position model. The record is from RNAcentral.
AAUCAACGCUGGCGGCGUGCCUCAGACAUGCAAGUCGAACGAUUAAACUUGCCUUCGGGCAAGAUAUAAAGUGGCGCACGGGUGAGUAACACGUAAGUAAUCUACCUUCGAGUGGGGAAUAACGUCCGGAACGGACGCUAAUACCGCAUAAUGCAGCGGCAUCGUAAGAUGACAGUUGUUAAAGGAGCAAUUCGCUUGAAGAGGAGCUUGCGGCAGAUUAGCUAGUUGGUAAGGUAAUGGCUUACCAAGGCUACGAUCUGUAACCGGUCUAAGAGGACGGUCGGUCACACUGACACUGAAUAACGGGUCAGACUCCUACGGGAGGCAGCAGUCGGGAAUUUUGGGCAAUGGGCGAAAGCCUGACCCAGCAACGCCGCGUGAAGGAUGAAGUAUUUCGGUAUGUAAACUUCGAAAGAAUGGGAAGAAUCAAUGACGGUACCAUUUAUAAGGUCCGGCUAACUACGUGCCAGCCGCCGCCGU